AGUGAACGCUGGCGGUAGGCCUAACACAUGCAAGUCGAACGGCAGCACAGUAAGAGCUUGCUCUUACGGGUGGCGAGUGGCGGACGGGUGAGGAAUACAUCGGAAUCUACUUUUUCGUGGGGGAUAACGUAGGGAAACUUACGCUAAUACCGCAUACGUCCUACGGGUGAAAGCAGGGGAUCUUCGCACCUUGCGCGAUUCAAUGAGCCGAUGUCGGAUUAGCUAGUUGGCGGGGUAAAGGCCCACCAAGGCGACGAUCCGUAGCUGGUCUGAGAGGAUGAUCAGCCACACUGGAACUGAGACACGGUCCAGACUCCUACGGGAGGCAGCAGUGGGGAAUAUUCGGCAAUGGGCGAAAGCCUGAUCCAGCAAUACCGCGUGAGUGAAGAAGGCCUUCGGGUUGUAAAGCCCUUUUGUUGGGAAAGAAAAGCAGCAGGUUUAUCCACGGCUGUUCUGACGGUACCCAAAGAAUAAGCACCGGCUAACUUCGUG
RNAcentral lists this ribosomal RNA (492 nucleotides) under uncultured bacterium. RNAcentral describes it as "partial 16S ribosomal RNA". It matches the Rfam family "Bacterial small subunit ribosomal RNA", at positions 29 to 507 of the family's 1533-position model. The record is from RNAcentral.